Molecule: long non-coding RNA, 929 nt
Organism: Brassica oleracea var. oleracea
Lineage: Eukaryota; Viridiplantae; Streptophyta; Magnoliopsida; Brassicales; Brassicaceae
Exons: 2
Source: RefSeq, a predicted model, not a curated record
UUCCAUCGUCGUCAUCUUCUCAGCCCUCUGUCGUCAUCAUCUUCUCAGCUCUGUCGUCGUCGUCAUUCUCUCAGCUCUACCAUUGUCGUCAUCCUCUUAGCUAUGUCGUCGCCGUCAUCCUCUCAGAUUCGCUGUCGUCAUCCUCUCAACUCCACUGUUCUUAUUCCGCGGUCAUCUCAUCCACCGUUGUCCUUCAUCUUAUGAUCUCAUAGUGCUAGGGUUAAUCUAACAUUUCCCGAUCUAGUCAAUUCUGGUGUUUCACCUGAUAUACCUCGAGGAAGCUACGUAGAUUCACCAGAGAUUGCUAAGAAAAUCAGAUUAUCCACUGUGCUUUCUCUAGAUCUGUGAAAUUCUCAGCCAUCAAUCAAACGUUUGAGUUUGAGGUGUCCACCUGGGAAUACGACGACGCUUGUGAUAAGUAUUAACUAGGGUUCUACAAGGGAGGAUGUGACUCUGGGUGUUGUGAAUUUCUUAAAAGAUGAAUUUUUCAGUGGAGUUUAUAUCCGGCCUUGAUUUGUUUCGCAAGUGGGAGCAAAUACACCUUUUGUGAUCUUUGAUCUAAAAGGAUGCUUGUUGGUCUGGAAGAAGAGUUAUCUAUACGCUUAGAAGGAGUGACAGGAGCCACAAUUCUAUGUGGCAUUUCUAUUAGAAAGGAUGCCACAGUUUCUUUCAUGUUGCUUUCUUAUCUCUUUUGAUUCUUCGACAAGAUGUUUUGUCUCCCUUUUUAUCUUAUAUGUGAGAAAUAUGGUUUCAUAUGGUGCUUGAGAGCCAUAAAACUAUAGGUAUAUCGUUUCAUGUCUCCUUUUGUUUUGUUUUGUAUGAUUUUACCAACCAACAUAGUAGUUAGACAUAUCGUGUAUGAAAAACAAAAGGUAAAUAGUUUCAUGUCUUUUUUUGGUUUUGUUUUGUUUUAUAUGAUUUUCUUCUUU